RNAcentral lists this ribosomal RNA (487 nucleotides) under uncultured bacterium. Its description in RNAcentral is "bacterial SSU rRNA". It matches the Rfam family "Bacterial small subunit ribosomal RNA", at positions 48 to 507 of the family's 1533-position model. The record is from RNAcentral.
UUAACACAUGCAAGUCGAACGAGGCGAUUGAAAGCUUGCUUUGAAAGUCGAGUGGCAAACGGGUGAGUAACGCGUAGGCAACCUGCCUCUAGGAUGGGGACAACAGUCCGAAAGGACUGCUAAUACCGAAUGUUGUAUCAAUUCCGCAUGGAGUUGGUAUGAAAGAUGGCCUCUACUUGUAAGCUAUCACCUAGAGAUGGGCCUGCGUCUGAUUAGCUAGUUGGUGGGGUAACGGCCUACCAAGGCGAUGAUCAGUAGCCGGUCUGAGAGGAUGAACGGCCACAUUGGGACUGAGACACGGCCCAGACUCCUACGGGAGGCAGCAGUGGGGAAUCUUCCGCAAUGGGCGAAAGCCUGACGGAGCAAUGCCGCGUGAGUGAUGAAGGAAUUCGUUCCGUAAAGCUCUUUUGUUUAUGACGAAUGUGCAGAUUGUGAAUAAUGAUCUGUAAUGACGGUAGUAAACGAAUAAGCCACGGCUAACUACGUG